GCUGACAAUGCUGCCCAGCGCUCAGCGCAGCUUCCUGUGUUUCUGCCCAGUGCAGACCUCGUUUCCUGUUGUGAGCAGUCGUCAUGGCAACUGGAGCCCUCGGUGGGCUCCACGGGGGGCCGACAGGGGGGCAACAGGAGUGACAUCACUCGGUGGGAAGGCAAGGGGCUGGGGUCCGUCAAAGAGGGCUGCUGGAGGCCGCCUGCGGGCACAUUGCUGUGGGGUGACUCAGCCUCGAGACAGGGCAGAAUGCCUCGCAUUCUUUCGGGAGCUCAUGGGGCUCUGGUGUGGCCCACAUGGAGAGACCGGACUUCUCUGUGCCCAGCUAGGAAGGACCUAGGCUAUCCCAACGACUGGAUAUCCCAUUCCCACUUGAUCAUCAUGCACCUGGGGCUCUGGGACUGAUAGUCCUGCUCUACUGUCUGUGGUGCCAGGUUUCUGGAUUUAAGUCUUUGGUUCUCUGGCUACCCGUCUACCUACACACACCCUUGAGAAUAUUCAGAAGACGGAGCCCCACUUUGUCACCUGUCCUGGCCUCAAGCCAGAGUGGCACAUCUGCUCUCAAUAACCACCCCCCAUCUCUAUUUUGUCUGUCCCAGAAAGUUCAGUCACUGUCAAAGCCAUCCCUCCACCUUCCCCUGGUGCCUCUCGGCCGCCUGUCCUGUCUGUCUGGCCCUCUAUCUGUCUGUCUGAGACAGUAGGAGGAAAAGCCUGGAGCCUCACCCUGCUGGAUGCACGUGUCCAGUGCAUUGUUCUCUCUCCUUGGGGAAAUGUCAGUUGCAAAGCUUGGGAGUCACGGGGCGUGUGCUGGGAGUCCCUGAGGGCUGGGGAUACACGUUUGGAAAUGUAUUUAUAGAGGACAGGGUCAGAAUAGAGUGAGGAUGCUUGCUGGAAUACAUCAUGAUAAAAAAAAUACAACAGAACUGGGCGUGGUGACGCGUAUAACACUCGGGAGGCAGAGGCAGGGGUAUUGUCUUAUAGUCACUAUAGUACGUUACAAAACCUUGUGACACUGUCGCACCUGUAGUCACAGCACUCUUCCAGAGAACGCACUUGGAUUCAAUUCCCAGCAUCUACAUGGGGCCUAACUCAAGUUCCGGGGGACCUAACACCCUCUCCUGGCCUCUGUCAGCACCAGGCACACCAUACACGCAGACAAAACAUACCUGCUGUAAAAGCCCGAGGGACGUGAAGUCCAUUGUGACAUUACGUCUCCUGGAAAGGCCAGGAAAACGGCAGCCAUGAACUCUCUACAAGGCUCAGGGAUACGACCAGAAAAAGGAAGACAGUGAGGGACAUGCUAGUGUGGAAGGGGGAGAUCUCACAGGACCCCAGCAAAG
This 1340-nucleotide long non-coding RNA is filed under the name Mus spicilegus (steppe mouse). RNAcentral describes it as "lncRNA (ENSMSIG00000028922.1)". The record is from RNAcentral. Lineage: Eukaryota; Metazoa; Chordata; Mammalia; Rodentia; Muridae.